GGGAGUGACAGGCUUAGACAAUACAUAUAUUCGCAUUACAUGCGGGAGAGCAGUGGAGAUCUGCUAUAAAAAACUUCAAACCAUAACUGCAAAAUCAGUUACGUCACCGUAUUUCUCGGUGAAUGAUCUUUCGUUCGCCACUGCGCGCGCCUAAGGUCACGUCUGCCCCAGCGAGCCCGGCUCUGGGUGCGGGUGUUAUAUAACGGGCUAUGACUACAGAGUCUGUCUUGCUCUGUAGUUGAGACUAAGAGGCUGCGACUCAAUCCUAUUUUGUCUACUUUCUACAAUUGAGCCUAAGAAAUUAAAGUAGUCUACCUCUCGUAGAUAUGUUUUGAGUUUUUGUGUUGCACGGCGGUUCAACUCCGCCCACUUCCACCA
This 378-nucleotide transfer-messenger RNA is filed under the name Minisyncoccota bacterium. It matches the Rfam family "transfer-messenger RNA". From Rfam's summary of the family: Bacterial tmRNA, also known as 10Sa RNA or SsrA, is named for its dual tRNA and mRNA-like properties. Its role is to liberate the mRNA from a stalled ribosome. The record is from RNAcentral. Lineage: Bacteria; Bacillati; Minisyncoccota. RNAcentral also lists the same sequence under 1 other name.